AGAGACAGCAGCCGCCGCGGGAAUACAGAGGGUGCGAGCGUUAAUCGGAUUUACUGGGCGUAAAGCGUGCGUAGGCGGCUAAUUGAGUCGGAUGUGAAAUCCCCGAGCUUAACUUGGGAAUUGCAUUCGAUACUGGUUAGCUAGAGUGUGGGAGAGGAUGGUAGAAUUCCAGGUGUAGCGGUGAAAUGCGUAGAGAUCUGGAGGAAUACCGAUGGCGAAGGCAGCCAUCUGGCCUAACACUGACGCUGAGGUACGAAAGCAUGGGGAGCAAACAGGAUUAGAUACCCCGGUAGUCCCUGUCUCUUAUAC
This 309-nucleotide ribosomal RNA is filed under the name uncultured bacterium. RNAcentral describes it as "partial 16S ribosomal RNA". It matches the Rfam family "Bacterial small subunit ribosomal RNA", at positions 504 to 807 of the family's 1533-position model. The record is from RNAcentral.